AUGAUUGGCAUGCGCUCCACCUUUGGUCACACAAUCCCUUGCCACACACCAUUCCAAGGCCACCACGCCACACCACCAGAUCCCAUCGCCGCCGCCUCGCACUCGCAUCCCAUCGCCGCCGCCUCGCACUCGCAUCCCAUCGCCGCCGCCCGUGCGUUCUCGAUCGGAGAGGACGCUCCCUUCGCCGCCGCUGAGAUCCGAGAAGAGUUGCCCUUCGCCGGCGCCAAGAUCCUGUGCCCCUCUAAAGACCCCUCUCUCUCGCGACACCGCCUCCCUUACAAGGACGCCACGCCAUGGGUCUCCAUCGGUGCCACGACUGCCGCGGCCUCCCCACCUGCCGACGCUCUAGAUCCGGCCGUAGUUGAUUCCCUGUACAUCAUCUCAAGGAGGAGGGGCGUGAGGCGGUUGCCGCCGCCGGUGGCUGCACUUGUAGGUCUCCGCCGCUUGCUCCAACCAGAUCCAGCCAGACCGUCCUGUGGUGGUCCACGUGCAUCUGGACGGACGCAACGGCUUUGCCUCCCCUGUCCCAUGUCUUCGUCCACCACACCAUCCCAUUGCGCGCCGGCGCUCACGGAGGAGAACCUGAUGUUCCUAGAGGCCUGGCGCGCGGUCGAUCACACUUACUACGACAAGUCCUCCAACGGGUGGAGCUGGUUCAGUGAGCUGGGAACUCAAAAUUCCAAUAAGUCGACGGCCGCUGCGGUGCCCACGUCCGCGUCAUUAGUGCUGCUAAGGGGCGCUUCACCCUGUUCGGCAUUAUCUUCUAUUCUUCCUACGGCUGCAAGAACCCUCACCUUGGCUAUGGCAGAUGCGACAGAUAAAGCAGGAGGUCAUCUUCUCUCCUUUCUCUUCUACCAUUAG
This 861-nucleotide ribosomal RNA is filed under the name Triticum aestivum (bread wheat). RNAcentral's name for it is "partial small subunit ribosomal RNA". The record is from RNAcentral. Lineage: Eukaryota; Viridiplantae; Streptophyta; Magnoliopsida; Poales; Poaceae.